Long non-coding RNA from Lolium perenne, 1569 nucleotides. RefSeq lists it as uncharacterized. NCBI's taxonomy places the organism in Eukaryota, Viridiplantae, Streptophyta, Magnoliopsida, Poales, Poaceae. The record is from RefSeq and is a predicted model, not a curated record.
CUUGUUGUACUUGUUUUGUUUUAGGCGCAGGGGUGUAUUAUUCUUGAGCAGCUGGAGGAGUUAAUGGUCAGAUAAGUAGGUGGAUUCUCGGAUCAGUCCACCAAUUUACGGAUUUAAAGUCUUGGGUCAAGGGAAUAGCUGUUGAGAAAAGGUCAACCGGUUUUGGUGGAAUCAGAUAAUGACCCUUUCAGUUUUUGGUUAGACAAAGGCCAACCAGCUAAGGUGGAAUCAAAGGGUAUUGGCUAUUACGGAAGGAGUAUUCCAUAGAGAAAAUUCAUCCAGAGAGCACAUAACUUGGCAAAAUGGAAUUUGGACCAGCAUCACAUGAAAUUGUGAAGGCAUUACUCGACACACAAUCUAGAUCGAGUAACUCAAGUGAGCAACAAAGCUGGCAGGUUCGACUUUUGAUGUCCCUUGAAACUUGUUUGAAGAAUGGGCAGGUUAAAAUCUGGAUAGAUGAGAUCUCUCCCCGGCGGUGCUUGAGGGUACCUUUUAUAUGUCUGCUUCCUUAUCACAAUUUUGGUAAAUGUUUUAAUUACCAUUACAAUAGCGGGAUGGUAUCAAACCGGUAAUUAGGGGAGAUGAUUUAUUACCUACUGAAGCGUGAUUUUACAAAGAUAUUUUAUUUAUGGUAGGGAAUAUUUUGCGGGUCUGAUGGAAAUCAAAUUAAUUCAAUUGCAGGCGUGUCUUCGGUUUCCUUAUUUGCUUCUUUUACCUAAAUGGAUAUGUGCUCCUUCCCUGAUCCGUGCUUAUUAAUUGUUCGAUCAGGCCUUGUUUCUCCGGGUUUAAAUGCGCUGGAAAUUAGGGACUAAUCCCACCAGAAAUAUUUCACAUGCCUUUUUUUCUGAAUAGUGCGAGAGAAAAAGAAAAGACAUGAUUCUGCGGGAUCUCCGGAUACCAUUUUUAUGUGUGCACAAUUAUCUUAAAUUAAGUAAUUACAUAAUCACCAUUACCAUAGCGUGAUUUAUGGGUCGAGUUGAUUUUAGCAUCCGGAGAUCCUAUUUGGGUCGAGUUGACUUACUCAUUGAUCCCCGUAACUUUUGGGUUUGUUAAAUGAGAGCAUCUGGAGAUACUAUUUGGGUCGAGUUGAAUUACUCAGUGAUUUGAUCCACGUAAUUUUUGGGUUUAUUAAAUGACAGCAUCGGGAGACACUAUUUGGGUCGAGUUGACUUAGGCAUUGAUUUGAUCCACGUGAAUUUUGGGUUUAUUAAAUGAGAUGCUUUAUUACAAAUAUUUUAUUUUAUUUAAAUUUGUCUAUUAUUGUAUGCCAGUUUUUGCUUAGUAUAAAAUGUUGUAGGUUUGCCUUGGAAGCUCUACCAGUUUUGCUCACAUGUGUUUGCUAGAAGGUUCAAGUUUUAUUGAUGCAUGUUUUCCUUUUAGAAUGUGUCGCAGGGAUAAAAAAGAUUGUAAGCCAAAUCCCCUACUUGACCGUGUUAUAGAUGUCCUUUUUUAUUCUUCACGCUGAACACAAAAUGAACUGCUCUACAGCUUCAUGUCUUCAAGAUAAAUCAUGUCUUCCAUUAUCCGCGCAAGUAGUAGGAGUAAAAUGGUGCCUAAUUAGAAAUAUUU